Molecule: long non-coding RNA, 401 nt
Organism: Zophobas morio
Lineage: Eukaryota; Metazoa; Arthropoda; Insecta; Coleoptera; Tenebrionidae
Exons: 6
Source: RefSeq, a predicted model, not a curated record
UGAAACUAGUUUAGAUGAUGGUUAAGUUGUUUGGUCUGGGUGCUAAAAAAUUCCUCUUUAUGCGACCGUUCCUGUUUUAAAGAAGAGUUUAAGCUUAGUUAAAGGUCAACAAUGAAUAAAUAUAGCCGUGAAGUCACUGCCAAAGAGCCACCUUCGACCUCUAUAUAUCUUCAACAGGAGCAGAUUGAACGGUUAUUAGAAAAACAAAACGAUGAGAGGAUCGAAGAGUUGUCUGUUACUGUAGGCCGGCUUAAAAAAACUGUUGAAUCCAUGCACACGGAAAUUCAAUCUCACAAUCAUUUUCUUGAGAGUCUUCAACUCGGAUUUCUUAACGCGGACAACUUUAUGGCAAGUAUUAUAACAAAAGUCAACAGCGUUAACCGAAAUACGAAAGGGAAGUU